Molecule: ribosomal RNA, 429 nt
Filed under: Triticum aestivum (bread wheat)
Lineage: Eukaryota; Viridiplantae; Streptophyta; Magnoliopsida; Poales; Poaceae
Description: partial small subunit ribosomal RNA
Source: RNAcentral
AUGGCGAUUAGCAGCCGCAACACGGUCACCCUCCGCAGCUCCGACGGCGAGGAGUUCGUUGUCCAAGCGGACACGAUCGCGGCGGCGUCGGCGCUGAUCAAGCAACUGCGCCGCCAGCGUGAUCCCGCUACCCCAGGUGACCGGCCGCAUCCUCGCCCGCGUCGUCGACUACUGCAAUCGCCAUUACGCCGACGCCGACGCGGCCGCGUACGCGUACGCCAGUCCCUUCCCGUUGGUCGACCCCGACCUGGAGCGCUUCGACACCGACUUCGUCAGCGGCAUCGACCAGGACACGCUCUUCAUGCUCCUCCUCGCCGCCAAAGACCUCGACGUAGAGGGGCUCCUGAACCUGGCGUGCAAGACGGUGGCCGACCAGAUGAGGGGCUAGACGGUCGAGGGCAUGCGCGCACACUUCGGCAUCGUCAAUGA